RNAcentral lists this ribosomal RNA (357 nucleotides) under Triticum aestivum (bread wheat). RNAcentral's name for it is "partial small subunit ribosomal RNA". Lineage: Eukaryota; Viridiplantae; Streptophyta; Magnoliopsida; Poales; Poaceae. The record is from RNAcentral.
AUCAGAGGUUGGAAGGAGAAGAAACUCUCCUUUGGAGGAAGAGAAGUGUUGCUAAAGGCUAUCAUUCAAGCUAUUCCUUCAUAUGCUAUGCAAGUGUUUAAGCUACCAAAACAGAUUUGCAAUGCUAUAACAACUGCUAUUUCACAGUACUGGUGGGGAGAUGAGGAUGACAAGAAGCAUAUGCACUGGUUUGCGUGGUGGAAAAUGUGUGUGCCAAAGAGCAAUGGAGGUAUGGGUUUUAGAGAUGUACACUGUUUCAACCUGGCGCUCCUAGCAAAGCAAUGUUGGAGAUUGUUAGCAGAACCUGAGUCUUUAUGUGCAAGAGUAUUGAGGGCAAAGUAUUUCCCGGACGGCGAU